AAAAAUUACCACCGUAACUUCGGAAGAAGGUGGGCCCUCCGUAGGUGUAGUCGUACAGACGAAGCCGAUGAGGGUUGCAGAGAAAUGGCGGUAGCGACUGUUUACCAAAAACACAGGACUCUGCGAAGACGACAAGUCGACGUAUAGGGUCUGACUCCUGCCCGGUGCUGGAAGGUUAAGGGGAUUCGUCAGCCGCAAGGCGAAGCGAUGAUCCGAAGCCCCAGUAAACGGCGGCCGUAACAAUAACGGUCCUAAGGUAGCGAAAUUCCUUGUCGGGUAAGUUCCGACCUGCACGAAUGGAGUAACGACUCCCGCGCUGUCUCGGAGAGGGACUCAGCGAAAUUGAAAUAGCUGUGCCGAUGCAGUUUACCCGCAGCAAGACGGAAAGACCCCGUGAACCUUUACUACAACUUGACAGUGACACUAGGGAUUGACUGUGUAGGAUAGGUGGAGCCUUUGAAACCGGGCCGCUAGGUUCGGUGGAGGCAACGGUGAAAUACCACCCUGUUGAUUUCUGGUGUCUAACCGUGUCCCAUAAUCUGGGAUCGGGACACUGUCUGGUGGGUAGUUUGACUGGGGCGGUCGCCUCCCAAAGCGUAACGGAGGCGCGCGAUGGUUCCCUCAGCCCGAUUGGAAACCGGGCGGCGAGUGCAAUGGCAUAAGGGAGCUUAACUGCGAGACAGACAUGUCGAGCAGGUGCGAAAGCAGGUCAUAGUGAUCCGGUGGUUCUGAAUGGAAGGGCCAUCGCUCAACGGAUAAAAGGUACUCCGGAUAACAGGCUUAUCUCCUCCAAGAGUUCACAUCGACGAGGGGGUUUGGCACCUCGAUGUCGGCUCAUCGCAUCCUGGGGCUGGAGCAGGUCCCAAGGGUUUGGCUGUUCGCCAAUUAAAGCGGUACGCGAGCUGGGUUCAAAACGUCGUGAGACAGUUUGGUCCCUAUCUGCUGUGGGCGUAGGAUACUUGAGAGGAUCUGUCCUUAGUACGAGAGGACCGGGAUGGAGACACCUCUGGUGUACCAGUUGUCACGCCAGUGGCAUCGCUGGGUAGCCAUGUGUCGAUUGGAUUACCGCUGAAAGCAUCUAAGCGGGAAACCGACCUCAAGAAUAGGUAUCCCGGGGGAAACCCCCUGAAGACCCGUCGAAGACUACGACGUUGAUAGGCCGGGUGUGUAAGCGUGGCAACACGUUGAGCUAACCGGUACUAAUUGGUCGUGCGGCUUACUUCA
RNAcentral lists this ribosomal RNA (1224 nucleotides) under metagenome. Its description in RNAcentral is "bacterial LSU rRNA". It matches the Rfam family "Bacterial large subunit ribosomal RNA", at positions 1717 to 2925 of the family's 2925-position model. The record is from RNAcentral.